RNAcentral lists this unclassified non-coding RNA (257 nucleotides) under rhizosphere metagenome. Its description in RNAcentral is "partial ribosomal RNA internal transcribed spacer region". The record is from RNAcentral.
GUAGGUGAACCUGCGGAAGGAUCAUUACUGAAUGGGGACUCCGGUCCCCGGGACAAGCCCCCGUCGAGCCUCUGGGCUCCCCGGGCGGCGACACCCCUCACCCUUUGUUUACCCUACCUCUGUUGCUUUGGCAAGGCUCCUGCCCGGGUGGUUCCGGGCUUGGGCUCUGCCAGAGGGCCCUAACUCGUGGAUAGUUUUUGUUUGUCUGAGUACGAUAUAAUCGUUUACAACUUUUAACAAUGGAUCUCUUGGCUCUG